UACGAAGGGAUCUAGCGUUGUUCGGAUUUACUGGGCGUAAAGGGCGCGUAGGCGGUUAUGUAAGUAAGAUGUGAAAGCCCUGGGCUUAACCCGGGAACUGCAUUUUAAACUGCAUAGCUUGAGUGUUGGAGAGGUAAGUAGAAUUCCCAGUGUAGAGGUGAAAUUCGUAGAUAUUGGGAAGAAUACCAGUGGCGAAGGCGACUUACUGGACAACAACUGACGCUGAGGCGCGAAAGCGUGGGGAGCAAACAGG
This 253-nucleotide ribosomal RNA is filed under the name uncultured bacterium. RNAcentral's name for it is "partial 16S ribosomal RNA". It matches the Rfam family "Bacterial small subunit ribosomal RNA", at positions 524 to 776 of the family's 1533-position model. The record is from RNAcentral.